This 643-nucleotide ribosomal RNA is filed under the name Stenotrophomonas sp. LR31. RNAcentral describes it as "bacterial SSU rRNA". It matches the Rfam family "Bacterial small subunit ribosomal RNA", at positions 57 to 695 of the family's 1533-position model. Lineage: Bacteria; Pseudomonadati; Pseudomonadota; Gammaproteobacteria; Lysobacterales; Lysobacteraceae. The record is from RNAcentral.
GCACGGCAGCACAGUAAGAGCUUGCUCUUAUGGGUGGCGAGUGGCGGACGGGUGAGGAAUACAUCGGAAUCUACUUUUUCGUGGGGGAUAACGUAGGGAAACUUACGCUAAUACCGCAUACGACCUUCGGGUGAAAGCAGGGGAUCUUCGGGCCUUGCGCGGAUAGAUGAGCCGAUGUCGGAUUAGCUAGUUGGCGGGGUAAAGGCCCACCAAGGCGACGAUCCGUAGCUGGUCUGAGAGGAUGAUCAGCCACACUGGAACUGAGACACGGUCCAGACUCCUACGGGAGGCAGCAGUGGGGAAUAUUGGACAAUGGGCGCAAGCCUGAUCCAGCCAUACCGCGUGGGUGAAGAAGGCCUUCGGGUUGUAAAGCCCUUUUGUUGGGAAAGAAAAGCAGCCAGUUAAUACCCGGUUGUUCUGACGGUACCCAAAGAAUAAGCACCGGCUAACUUCGUGCCAGCAGCCGCGGUAAUACGAAGGGUGCAAGCGUUACUCGGAAUUACUGGGCGUAAAGCGUGCGUAGGUGGUUGUUUAAGUCUGUUGCGAAAGCCCUGGGCUCAGCCUGGGAACUGCAGUGGAUACGGAGUACUAGAGUGUGUUAGAGGGUAGUGCAAUUCCUGGUGUAGCAGUGAAAUGCGUAGAG